GUCCUUAACAUAGAUGGUUGACAGUGCU
RNAcentral lists this non-coding RNA (28 nucleotides) under Rattus norvegicus (Norway rat). Lineage: Eukaryota; Metazoa; Chordata; Mammalia; Rodentia; Muridae. The record is from RNAcentral.